This 334-nucleotide ribosomal RNA is filed under the name Brevibacterium sp. 239c. RNAcentral describes it as "bacterial SSU rRNA". It matches the Rfam family "Bacterial small subunit ribosomal RNA", at positions 1 to 329 of the family's 1533-position model. Lineage: Bacteria; Bacillati; Actinomycetota; Actinomycetes; Micrococcales; Brevibacteriaceae. The record is from RNAcentral.
UUUUUAUGGAGAGUUUGAUCCUGGCUCAGGACGAACGCUGGCUGCGUGCUUAACACAUGCAAGUCGAACGCUGAAGCCCGCAGCUUGCUCUGGGUGGAUGAGUGGCGAACGGGUGAGUAACACGUGAGUAACCUGCCCCCGACUUCGGGAUAAGCCCGGGAAACUGGGUCUAAUACCGGAUAUGACAACCGAAGGCAUCUUUGGUUGUGGAAAGUUUUUUCGGUUGGGGAUGGGCUCGCGGCCUAUCAGUUUGUUGGUGAGGUAAUGGCUCACCAAGACGACGACGGGUAGCCGGCCUGAGAGGGCGACCGGCCACACUGGGACUGAGACACGG